Zootermopsis nevadensis is the source of this 817-nucleotide non-coding RNA. Lineage: Eukaryota; Metazoa; Arthropoda; Insecta; Blattodea; Termopsidae. The record is from RefSeq and is a predicted model, not a curated record.
CCUGCAAACAUUACACAAAGCAUUACAGUUGUUACCUUUCUUCCACAGGAACAGUAUUACUUUUUUAGGAGAGAUUUUAAAUUGAGAUUUUAAAUUGUUUCCAUUAGUGCAACAGUAACGAUCAGGUUUUGUCUCAGUAAUUCAGAAACGGGAAAACUUCCCACUAAUCAGAGUAUAAGGGAAUUGUGGUGUUUACAAACUGGAAGAGCUAAAAGAGGAAAAUGUACAGCUUCAGCAUUCAGGAAUGAGCUGCUCUGAGACGUGUACCCACAAAAGAUAUUUUCUGUGGAGUCGCAGCUUCCGUCACCCUCAUCCCAUCUGGCGCUGCAGAAGAAACCAGACGUGAAACAGCACACAUUUUGAAGAGGGCACACCCCACUCAAUCCCGUCACUGGAUGAGAAAGAGCAGCCGCGAGAGAACUCCAGGACGGAGCGAAUGUUUAUGUAGUACUGGUGGACAAGGGGAACGCGUCUGCCAUUCUGGACUCCUCGGACUACCCAGGAAAGAUCCACACUCUCAUAGCCGAUCCCACCGUCCGAUUUUAAAACAUUCAGCGUGGCUCAUCCCCCCAAAAAAACUGAAGUUGUACAUUGAACUCCAGUUGCAGAAACGUAAGGACAGUUAUUAGCGCAGACAUUCGCCGUGUUUUGAUUUUGUAUUGUGUUUGUGUAUGGCUUCCUAGUGAUCUCCUCCUUUUUAGAUUUGGAACUAACAUUUUGUAUUCCGAGUUGCUCAAGAUAUUCUCAGUCUCUGUUCUCUGUGGAUGAGAAACCAAGAAACCAUGACUGAAAUAAAUUAUACAAUUUUAAGUACUUA